This is a long non-coding RNA of Aethalodelphis obliquidens (Pacific white-sided dolphin), 1465 nucleotides long. RefSeq lists it as uncharacterized. The record is from RefSeq and is a predicted model, not a curated record. The transcript is spliced from 2 exons. Lineage: Eukaryota; Metazoa; Chordata; Mammalia; Artiodactyla; Delphinidae.
CUGGACCAGGGCUCGAACCCGUGUCCCCUGCAUUGGCAGGUGGAUUCUUAACCACUGCGCCACCAGGGAAGCCCUUGUUUCUGUUUUCAAUGAAAAGCUUCUCAAUGAAAAGCUUCUCAAGUUUAAGGAUAGCCUCUGUUGGUCUCUCUCCAUUCAUUAAGCACUUACUUUGAGCCAAGCACUGUUCUUGUUAGCGUUGGGGAACAGAGAAAUAAAAGGUCAUCCCUGCCCCUAAGAAAUUACAGCCUCAGGGGAAAACAAAGUGUAUUUACAAAAUAGUAUGUGGACCAUGAAUGAGAUAAACAAACACUGGUUGGAGAGUCCAAAAAGUGGCACCUGACCUGCUGGCGAGAGGGAUGGGCUACCAAAUACUGGUGUGAGCCCGAAGGACCCAGACCAGGAAUGCGGAAAGGGAAUCUAGGCAGAAGGGAGAACUCGUGCAAAGCUACUGAACCAUGUCUCAGGACCUAUCCUUGUGCCUUCAAGGCUCUGCUACCCAGCCUUCCUGCCGCCCUGAUUCGUAGGUCUCUCUUUGGAAGUCACCGCCAGUGACAGAAAGAAUGGCCCAAGCUGGCAGAUGGAAGCUAGACUGGCCUGGAGACCGCUAGGAGGCUGAACCCUCCGUCAGGCAAGAGGUCAUGUAAGCAGAACUGGCAAGUUUUGGGAAGGAAAAUGAGGCACCCCCGUCUACGGACCAGGAAGGAAAUGGAACUGAGAGGGGGCUGAGCUGGCAGAGCUGGGGGUUUUCAGCACUUGCAAGGCAGCUGAGCCACUGACUGAAGUUCUACAGCAAAGGGGAGUGAGUGGAGGGCUCAGUUAGUGUCAAACCCAAGGGGAGGUUUCACAGAUACUUUUACUGACUGAGCCCGUACAUCUGAAUUGUAAAGUUGGUUCUGUUAUCACUCUAAACGUUAAAGCAAAGGGUCAUUAAGCAAUAGUUCGAAGACAGUAGGAAUUUUCCCAGGCAAGAGGAUAGGGAAGGGAAAGCAAAGUACUCUGUCUCCCCAAAUUAGGUCUGUGAAAACCCAAUCCUUCUGAGGAUGAGCGCUGUACUCUUCACCACCAGCAUGCAAAACUGCAAUACAGCUGGGAAUUAUAAAAGUAACCAGGACUGCCGGCCUAACAGCCCUCGAUACUGGCUACUUGACACCAACCAUCUACCAUCAGACCCAACCCGCUUCCGCUGAAACGAAAUGAUAAGAAACCCUUGAUCAGUUAGUUGAGUUGCUUCUAAUUUGAGAGUCCACGCAUCUGAAAAGGAAGUUGAAGGUUCUAUGUGAUUAAACUCAGUGAUGUCUUGACUUAUGAAUAGGCUGUGCAGGACUCAGCACUAAUUUAGGUUCCAUGUAUUUUGCUACAACAGAAAAGAGUAAAAAUGAGUCGUUCGGCUUGCAGUGAAAGAUAGUUCCAGGCCUUUUUAAAUUUUAAAGUAAGCUCACCCCCAGUACUCUGGUUAUAGUGUAAA